GGAAAAGUGGCCCAAAGAUCACAGAGUGUAUUUUGAUGAAUUGCGAGCUCUCGUUUCAGAAUUCACCAACAGAGUCGGAGAAAGGAGGGACCUGCACCUGCUGGACCAGAACCUGCCCCAGGCGGAGUGGGUGUUGCUGAAGGUCAUCAAGCGAAAGUGGUCGGAGCCAAGGUGGACGGGUCCUCAUCAGGUGGUGGAGAGAACGAGUCAUGCGGUCCGCCUGAGGGACAAAGGAGAGACCUGGUACCAUUGGAGCCAGUGUACACCAGCGCAGGAGCCAGGGAGGUCGCUAACGGGCCUCAUCCAAACCGGGAAGGAGGAGCUUUCCCCAGUGUGGACGGAAGGAGGACCAGCACCAGCCGGGCCGGUGCCAGGAGCGGACCCCAGGACACGGCGGGACUACGAGCGAGUGAAGGAGACAAAGGACGGCGCCAGGGGAAUAGACUCUUAGGGGAAGGAACUGAGGAAUACUGUAACAAAAGGGGGUAUAGGACACCGAGUGGCUCCUACCACUCGUACCAAGAUGACAGGGUCACAGAGAAGGGCCUGGGGAGAUGAUAGUAGAAUGAAAUGAGGGCUUGCCAUGAGAGUGAUCUCUACAGCCAUUGAGAAGGCUUCAGGACCGCCACCAGGAUGCUGAUGCCUCUACUGGAGCAGCAUGACCCGGGAGAACUGGAGCUUGGCGAAUAGGGGUGAUCUCUCUGGGGAGAGAUCAAAAGGGG
Molecule: long non-coding RNA, 722 nt
Organism: Esox lucius (northern pike)
Lineage: Eukaryota; Metazoa; Chordata; Actinopteri; Esociformes; Esocidae
Source: Ensembl